ACAAUCACAGCCUCUUACCUGCUGAACCACAACAGGGACAAUCAGUGAUCCCAACUACUGCUGACAAACACACGACUAAUGAGAGUUCGUGGCCCACAGAGGGGUCCUGACAGGUCUUCCCCUCCAGGAUUGGCCUGGAGUUCAUCUCCAUCCUUCUUCCCAUCAUCAUCUCUGGCCAACUGUUCCCGCUGGAGAACAGCAUCCUGCGCAGGGAUGCACAAUAAACUGCAGUGCACUGUGCAGCACUAAAUGUUUCACAAGCCAGAGGUGGGACGGAGGCCAAGUCAGGAAGAAACCACAACUAAGUUGCUUCAAUGAUGAAACAUCAACCUGGAGCAACUUUGUCAGAAAGUCUGGUUGUUCAGACUGGAAUAUCGAGUUUAAUGUUAGUUUCUGAAGCUGGAUUUAGACUCAAACCCCUAUGAGUUACACCAGCAUUUAAUUUCCCUCUGAGAUUAAUUAUUUUUAACUGAAUUGAAUCAUGGUGUGGUCAUAUUGGACUUUAAUACAGUUUACUGCAGAAUUACCUACACGCACAUCAGGGAGGCCCCACUCACUGCCUGCUUUUAAAACUUGACUCAGUUUGAUCUUGUUUGUUUUAGAUCGGCUUUAUUCAUAUUCAAUCUUUUUUUUUUUUUUGUCAUGUUAUAUUUUUAGCUUUUGAUGCGUGUUGUGCAGCACUUUGUUUCAGCUGGAGUUGUUUUAAAGUGCUUUAUAACUGAGGCUGGUACGAUAUGGUACCUGCUGUAUUUAUAGGAAGACGGGACUUUAUCGUCCCAUUCACCAACGUCAUUGCAUGGUUUCCCUUACUAAUAAAAUUCUGUAAGAAA
Fundulus heteroclitus (mummichog) is the source of this 830-nucleotide long non-coding RNA. RefSeq lists it as uncharacterized. The transcript has 2 exons. The record is from RefSeq and is a predicted model, not a curated record. Lineage: Eukaryota; Metazoa; Chordata; Actinopteri; Cyprinodontiformes; Fundulidae.